GCUGAUUUAUCAUUGUCACAAAAAAUGGGUAGAUUUAUUACGAUAUGUUUUUUUGUCCAUAUCACCCAUCUCUACCCUGAUGCCACCCUUCCCCUUGCAAAAUGACACAGAUGCUCCUGUGAAGCCAGAGCCCUAUACUACGAAUCAGGUUUGAGGAGUUAGCGAAGUAACUUUGGUCAACUCUGAAUUCAACUCGGGAUAACAGGUACCACAAAAGUGGUUCAACUUUUAGCCAGGUACGUUUCUAUGGCAACCAAUCCUUCAGAACUAAUCUGCUCCAGGGCAGGCUAACUCAGGGCUAACUCCAUUUAUCCUGAAGGAAGUGUCUUAACUUAACCUUAACUUCUUGCAGCUUUAAGAAAAUAAAGUUAAGAAAAUAUUUACUAAAUAAACUAAAGUAAAAAAUAUCAAUGUAAAUAGUCCGGGUGGCCAUUUUGAUUAAUUUUUCAGUAGUCUUAUGGCUUGGGGGUAGAAGCUGUUAAGGAGCCUUUUGGACCUAGACUUGGUGCUCCGGUACCGCGUGCCGCGCGGCAGCAGAGAGAACAGUCUAUGACUUGGGUGACUGUAGUCUUUGACCAUUUUUUGGUCCUUCCUCUGACACUGCCUAAUAUACAGGUCCUGGAUGGCAGGAAGAUUGGCCCCAGUGAUGUACUGGGCUGUACGCACUACCCUCUCUAGCGCCUUACGGUCGGAUGCUGAGCAGUGAGCUGUUACCAUACCAGGAGGCCCACGGCACCACGACCCUGGCUCCCAGAACCAAGAUUUGGCCUGGUCCUGGGCCUCACAGCAAGAAGAGGCAAGGUCUGGCUCCAGACACCCAUCUCCACCUCCAGGCCUAUUGCACCACAGCCUCAUCUCGCCCGUGUCCCAGCCGAAAGAUGAGGCCUGGUCCUGGGCCUCCCAGCCAGCCAGCUGAGGCAGGGCCCGGCUCCAGACAGCCAUCAGGGUAAUGCACUGACGCUAUUGUGAAGGCCAGAACCUUGAGGAGCUGCAUUAAACUGAGGAGAAUUAGGAGAAAACUUAGGAGGAGAAGAGAAGAUGGUUUGACAGGAGAUGAGAUAAUGUAAAGGAGGGCGAUAGCUUCAAAAACACAAACUCAUGUUCUCUGGGUGGAAAAUUGAAAUUUUAUUGGAAAAUCUUGGGUUGGUUAUCUUGGUUAUUUUGGUUAUUUUGGCUAUAAGCAGUUUGGGGGUUUUAUUAUCUGAUAAUGUAUGUUUCUUUGCCAUGACAGGCACAUAUGCAUUUUAAUCAGUAGUUAGAUGUAACGGCUGUUGGAAGGAGAGGACCAAGGUGCAGCGUGGUACGUGUUCAUACUUUUAUUUGAACUGAACACUGAAAUAACAAAGAGAAUGAACGAAACCGAAACAGUUCGGGCUGGUGCAGACACAAAAACAGAAAACAACUUGCCACAAGACACAGGUGGGAAAAAGCUACUUAAGUAUGGUUCUCAAUCAGAGACAAUGAUAGACAGCUGCCUCUGAUUGAGAACCAAGAAAAACAAAAACAUAGAAUGCCCACCCCAACUCACGCCCUGACCAAACCAAAAUAGAGACAUAAAAAGGAUCUCUAAGGUCAGGGCGUGACAUUAGAACUAUAUCACUUUUCCUCAUCAGUGAUGACAGAUGGAUUCUAGCGUUAUGAAUUAACAACAAUAAAUGCUAGUCUAACGCAGGACGCAUGGGUUGGAAAAGGGAACCAAAUGUCUCAGUGUCUAUGUUGCAAAUGGCAUCACUCUCCCCCUUUCAUUUUCUGUCUCUUGAGGUAAUUUAAAGGCAAUUCUAAUUCACUUACAGAACUGCGGUGCGGUGUAGAGGGGAACUGUUUGGGGGUUUGAGUAAAGCUGCUGGUGUUUUAAGUGCGCCACAAAAAAAUCACUGACAAAUGUUGGGUUAACAUUUACA
Long non-coding RNA from Oncorhynchus tshawytscha (Chinook salmon), 1901 nucleotides. The record is from Ensembl. Lineage: Eukaryota; Metazoa; Chordata; Actinopteri; Salmoniformes; Salmonidae.